ACUGAGAUCGAUUGGUGCAUAGA
Molecule: microRNA, 23 nt
Filed under: Drosophila ananassae
Lineage: Eukaryota; Metazoa; Arthropoda; Insecta; Diptera; Drosophilidae
Also listed under: 5 other names
Description: Dan-Mir-29-P1_5p* (star (passenger))
Source: RNAcentral